RNAcentral lists this ribosomal RNA (1323 nucleotides) under Callinectes sapidus (blue crab). Its description in RNAcentral is "large subunit ribosomal RNA". The stretch from base 858 to 1259 matches the Rfam family "Bacterial large subunit ribosomal RNA", at positions 2049 to 2651 of the family's 2925-position model. Lineage: Eukaryota; Metazoa; Arthropoda; Malacostraca; Decapoda; Portunidae. The record is from RNAcentral.
UUAGUUCUACGAUAUUGCUAGUUUUUGUAUGUGUGAAUAUUAAAAACGUAAUAAAAUACUGAUAUGGUAAAGAUUAUUGAGACAUCAAUGAGAGCUAUAGAUUAAAAGUACUGAAUAGGAAAUAAAUAAAAGUCUAAGAUUUUUAAAGUAAACUUUAAAAGUUGUACCUUGUGUAUCAGGGAUAAUCAAAUUAUAGCAUGAAGAAUAGUGCUAAUCCCGAAUUAAAGAUAGCUAACAUAUUAAUAAGGUUUUUGUAGCAUAAAAAUCUGUAAUGGUAUGUUAAAGAUGAAAUGUUAAACGAGCUUUAAAAUAUCUGGUUCUCCAGGAAUAGAAUAACAAUUCGAUCUUUAGAUUUAAAUUGAUCUAAAGGUAAAGAGCAGGAGGGAAGAGCUUCUUGUUUCUAAUAAAAUCAUUUAAGAGAAAGUUAAAAAAUUAAUCUUUUCUAGGCUUAAAAGUAGCUAUGAUAUUAAAGUGUUCUAAUUUAGGUUAAUAAAAAAAGUAAUUUAUAAUUUCUUUAAGAGUUACUGGAGUAUUAUUAGAAUCUUAAUACUUUAAGAAAUAAUGAUUAUAUAAGUAUAGUUUAUAUGUAAAGAGUUAAUUUUAAAAUGUUAAAAAAUUUAUAAAAGCUUAAGAGAAUAGCGAAAGGAACUCGGCAAAAAAUUUUCUUGCCUGUUUAUCAAAAACAUGUCUAUUAGAAAUUGUUUAUAGUCUAGCCUGCUCACUGACAUAAAGUGUUAAAUAGCCGCGGUAUCUUGACCGUGCAAAGGUAGCAUAAUCAUUAGUUUCUUAAUUGGGAACUUGUAUGAAUGGUUGGACAAAGAAAAAUCUGUCUCUUGCACUGAAAUUGAAUUUAACUUCUAAGUGAAAAGGCUUAGAUUAUCCAGAGGGACGAUAAGACCCUAUAAAGCUUUAUAAAUUUAUUAAUUUCGUUUAUUUUUUAUUAUAAUAAUGAUGAUAAGAGAAUUUAUUUGGUUGGGGCAACCGAAGUAUAAUUUUAAAUAACUGCUAUAAUUUAAUACAAUGAUUUUUGUCUUAUACAAUAAUUGAUCCUCAAAGAGAUUAAAGACCAAGUUACUUUAGGGAUAACAGCGUAAUUUAUCCUGAGAGUUCUUAUCAAAGGAAAAGUUUGCGACCUCGAUGUUGAAUUAAAAUGUCUACCUAGUGCAGCAGCUAGGAAAGAAGGUCUGUUCGACCUUUAAUUUUUUACAUGAUUUGAGUUCAGACCGGCGUGAGCCAGGUUGGUUUCUAUCUUCUGGAGAUAAAAUAGAAUCACUUUAGUACGAAAGGAUUUGGUGGUUAAAAUUUUUUUAUAAUUUUUGAAAU